RNAcentral lists this ribosomal RNA (253 nucleotides) under uncultured bacterium. RNAcentral's name for it is "partial 16S ribosomal RNA". It matches the Rfam family "Bacterial small subunit ribosomal RNA", at positions 524 to 776 of the family's 1533-position model. The record is from RNAcentral.
UACGUAGGGUGCGAGCGUUAAUCGGAAUUACUGGGCGUAAAGCGUGCGCAGGCGGCUUUGCAAGACAGAUGUGAAAUCCCCGGGCUCAACCUGGGAAUUGCAUUUGUGACUGCAAGGCUAGAGUACGGCAGAGGGGGAUGGAAUUCCGCGUGUAGCAGUGAAAUGCGUAGAUAUGCGGAGGAACACCAAUGGCGAAGGCAAUCCCCUGGGCCUGUACUGACGCUCAUGCACGAAAGCGUGGGGAGCAAACAGG